RNAcentral lists this ribosomal RNA (478 nucleotides) under uncultured bacterium. Its description in RNAcentral is "partial 16S ribosomal RNA". It matches the Rfam family "Bacterial small subunit ribosomal RNA", at positions 28 to 523 of the family's 1533-position model. The record is from RNAcentral.
GACGAACGCUGGCGGCGUGCUUAACACAUGCAAGUCGAACGGUAAGGCCCUUCGGGGUACACGAGUGGCGAACGGGUGAGUAACACGUGGGUAACCUGCCCUUGACUCUGGGAUAACUGCUAGAAAUGGUAGCUAAUACCGGAUACGACCCUCGGUGGCAUCACCAGGGGGUGGAAAGAAUUUCGGUCAAGGAUGGACUCGCGGCCUAUCAGCUAGUUGGUGGGGUAACGGCUCACCAAGGCGACGACGGGUAGCCGGCCUGAGAGGGUGACCGGCCACACUGGGACUGAGACACGGCCCAGACUCCUACGGGAGGCAGCAGUGGGGAAUAUUGCACAAUGGGCGCAAGCCUGAUGCAGCAACGCCGCGUGAGGGAUGACGGCCUUCGGGUUGUAAACCUCUUUUAGUAGGGAAGAAGCGAAAGUGACGGUACCUGCAGAAAAAGCACCGGCUAACUACGUGCCAGCCGCCGCCGUAA